RNAcentral lists this long non-coding RNA (745 nucleotides) under Manacus vitellinus (golden-collared manakin). RNAcentral describes it as "lncRNA (ENSMVIG00005018984.1)". The record is from RNAcentral. Lineage: Eukaryota; Metazoa; Chordata; Aves; Passeriformes; Pipridae.
UGCAGGGAUGGUGCAGGGGUGGGUUUUGUGGUGGGUGCUGAUGAAGUGUCUGUGGCUCACCCUGCCCUGCCCAUCUCUUGCAGAACAUUGUCUCCAAGCACAGCUCACAGUUCCGGGGCAACGCGCAGCACGACGCCCUCGAGUUCCUGCUCUGGCUGCUGGACCGCAUGCACGAGGACCUGGGGGCUGCCUCCCCUGCCCAGCAGACCCGCAGCCCCCAGGAGCCUGGCAAGGACAGUGGCAGUGCCAGCAGGUCCCCGCCGGCUGCCCAGCACUCCCGGGGGCAGAGCUUCGUGCAGAGCCAUUUCCAGGCACAGUACAGGUCCUCCCUGACGUGCCCUCACUGCCUGAAGCAGAGCAACACCUUCGACCCCUUCCUGUGCAUCUCCCUGCCCAUCCCCCUGCGCCAGACCAGGUGAGCCCGACCCCCCCCCAGUUGUGGUAAAACGAGAGGCACAUCCACCACCUGGCAGGGUGUCAACUCCAACCUGAGGCAUUUACAUAGUUUGGGGUAAAUAAUUUAUGUGGGAGUUCGGGGCAGCACUGGGGAUGGACAACAGCAACCCACUGCAGGAGCUGUGUCCAUGGGGUGUUUGCCAGCCCAGAGCUGGAGCUGCUGUGUGAGUGGGUCACAGAAUCACAGAAUCAAAGAAUCACAGAAUCAACCAGGUUGGAAAAGACCUCUGAGAUCAUCGAGUCCAACCCAUGACCCAACCCCACCUUGUCACCCAGACCAUGGCACUGA